This 552-nucleotide ribosomal RNA is filed under the name uncultured bacterium. RNAcentral describes it as "partial 16S ribosomal RNA". It matches the Rfam family "Bacterial small subunit ribosomal RNA", at positions 358 to 900 of the family's 1533-position model. The record is from RNAcentral.
GGAAUCUUCGGCAAUGGGGGCAACCCUGACCGAGCAACGCCGCGUGAGUGAAGAAGGUUUUCGGAUCGUAAAGCUCUGUUGUAAGUCAAGAACGGGUGUGAGAGUGGAAAGUUCACACUGUGACGGUAGCUUACCAGAAAGGGACGGCUAACUACGUGCCAGCAGCCGCGGUAAUACGUAGGUCGCGAGCGUUGUCCGGAUUUAUUGGGCGUAAAGCGAGCGCAGGCGGUUUGAUAAGUCUGAAGUUAAAGGCUGUGGCUCAACCAUAGUUCGCUUUGGAAACUGUCAAACUUGAGUGCAGAAGGGGAGAGUGGAAUUCCAUGUGUAGCGGUGAAAUGCGUAGAUAUAUGGAGGAACACCGGUGGCGAAAGCGGCUCUCUGGUCUGUAACUGACGCUGAGGCUCGAAAGCGUGGGGAGCGAACAGGAUUAGAUACCCUGGUAGUCCACGCCGUAAACGAUGAGUGCUAGGUGUUGGAUCCUUUCCGGGAUUCAGUGCCGCAGCUAACGCAUUAAGCACUCCGCCUGGGGGAGUACGACCGCAAGGUUGAAAC